CAUCCAAGCUAGUAGUGAUAAUUGGACCCAAUCCAAUGAUUGAGAAGUUGAGAUGUGACAACAAUCUACUAUUGCAGGUAGUUAAAGUGUUCAACAAAGGUCCCUAUAAAACUAAAGAAAAUAAUUUUCAGUCAAUCUGUAACCAACAUUACACACAGUUUAAAUGACACAUCAUUCUGAGUUCAACAACAAUGUAUAGAUCUUAACACC
This 210-nucleotide long non-coding RNA is filed under the name Elaeis guineensis (African oil palm). RNAcentral's name for it is "long non-coding RNA (EGUI_LNC008266)". The record is from RNAcentral. Lineage: Eukaryota; Viridiplantae; Streptophyta; Magnoliopsida; Arecales; Arecaceae.